Numida meleagris (helmeted guineafowl) is the source of this 1306-nucleotide long non-coding RNA. RefSeq lists it as uncharacterized. Lineage: Eukaryota; Metazoa; Chordata; Aves; Galliformes; Numididae. The transcript has 3 exons. The record is from RefSeq and is a predicted model, not a curated record.
UCCCCUUCCUGUUUAUAUGAUCCCUUCAAGUAUUGGAAGGCCACAAUGAGGUCUCCCCGGAGCCUUCUCUUCUCCAAGCUAAACAAGCCCAGUUCCCUCAACCUUUCUUUCAAAUGAGCUGCUGCAGGUUGGUCUACUACCAUCUCUAGUGCUCAGUUCUGCAGUGUGCAGAUCUUCUGUGUCCCCAUGGCCCUGAUGUUAACCAAGUACCCUCCAGAUCCCAGGUAAGCUCUUCUCUUCUGGGGGCUCACCGGCUUGAGGAUAUUCAGCAGAAAUCCUGGUAGGCAAAGUUGGGUGCACAAGUAGCUCUGGGUAUGCAAGUGCAAAAUGUUACAGAAUCAAGGCAGAAAGGAAAAAAAUAAUUUCUUGUGCUCUAAUUUCACUUAAUGAGAAACCAUUCACAUUUUACAAUUUCUGAUCUGUAUCUUUCUAUUCCUAUUCUAAUGGUAAUUAUUAACAGAGAAAUCAUUUGAUGGCUUUCACAUACCCCCAUACUUCAAGUAUCUAACAACCUAUUGAUUCGAUAGCUGGGCAGCAUUCCCAAUUGAGGAGCUGCAGUUUGAUUUUUUUUUUUUUUUUUAAACACUUUGAUCAUCUCGCAUGCGAAGGAUAAUUAUUUUUGUGGUUGAAACAAGGGAUGGAUUGCAGAUCAAUGGAGUCUGGAGUAUGCUCCUGUGUGCAAUCCCCAGUCGGAACAAGUGGUGUCUGCAUCUUCUCAUAGAAAGAUCUUGAAAAAUUACCCGUGGGUUGGAUUUCUGAUCACUACUGUCAGCUAUGGAAAGGUGUAACAUGCAGGUGAUCACAGAAGUGAUCUGACAAAAGACAAUAGCAGUAUUUGAUGCUAUGACCAUAUCUUUAUUUUUCCUGACUACUGUACAUACUGGUGCAGAAAACUUGGAUGCUGCAAGAGGUCCUGGAGGACUCCAACGAGUGCUGAGUGAGUCUGCAGUGGUGCACAGAUCCAGCUGUGGUCCUCCCCCUGCAGAACAUCAUGGGCUCUUCUAGAGGAGAGGAGUAUGAUGGACAAGGGAGAUUUGCUCUAAACAGAAAGGCUCUGGCACUUCAUGCUUUCCCUAGGACAAGGCUUGAGAAUGAUCACCCACUGGCUGCCCCUACACAUGAAGGAGGCUGCACACAGCUGCUGUGAUUUGUGGUUAUAAAGUGGCACUGAAGCAAACUGAGAAUUAGGUAUGAACCUCCCCAGGAGGAAACACUGCUUUUCCAGCUCCGCAUGUUUUUCUCUUUUUUCUUCUCAUUCCCACUCUGCCCAGGACAGCUGUUCAGUUUCACUGCAGCUGGGGUUUUC